UUGACCAUGGCAGCCAGCUGCUGCUACACGCGUUGACGAGCUCCGCACCUGAUGGACCAUUAUGACUCCCUUAGAGGAAGAAGGCCGUUCAGAAGUCCAUGUUCGACGUGCCACGGUCCGACCUUAACUAACGCUAAGGGGAUCGCUUACGGGAUUGACAACUGAGAUAAAUACGGGAAGGGAGUACCAUUCACACGGAUUACGCGCCAGCGUUCCUGAGCAUAUCCAGACGCAUGCGCUCGCGGAGGAUUCAAGGACAUCGUUCCUGAGAGCAUCCGCGACCCCAGUGUGUUUACUACAGCGCCGCUGGAUUCAGUUCUCCACUCUCCAGUGUGCUUGUUACAGGUUCUGAUAUUCUUCAGUGCUGGCAUCUAGGAACAACACUAUCAAAGUGUAAGUAAAAUCCAGAGUACCAAGGAUAAUCACUUGUAAAAUAAUAAAAACAGCAGACAGGGACACUCAUUUUAUUAACACUAAUGCCUAACAAUCAACUCACACAGACCUAACAGCCAAUCUUUUAAGAUUGGCUCAGCAAGGCCUAUCCCUUUGAUUUAUUGUCAGAGCUUGUUGACUGAAAGACUGCACAACAUCCACUGAUUUAGUGCCAUAUGAUAACACAAUGUACAGUUAUAUUGUCCUUCUAAGCACUAAACCUCUAGAUGAAACUACUUUCGGUGAACAAGCCCUGUGAAUUAACGAUGUAUCAUUGUUAAUAACUUCCCUACACCUAUGUACUUUAGUCCAUCUAUUAGACAUGCUCUCAAGUCAAGUAGGGAAAAUCUGCAGGAUUGCCUGAUCCCCUUCUGUGAAGUGGGGUAGGAUCAGUACAAACUGCAUCAACCCCUGUGGGUUGCUCAGAGCAACCUUGUAACAGUAGGACAUGGUCCCACAUCUAUAAAUGGACUAAAUAAAUCUUCAUUUACCUGUUAUAGCUAAAACAUUUAAUUCAGCUCACCAAAGUUUAGUAGAUUUACUUUUGCAGGGUAGAACAGCCUCACUUUAAGCCAGUGCUUUGAUAUUCUUCAUUGGCACCUGAAAAAAUAACCGAAUUAAUAGCUUUUGAAAACUCAAAAUAUUUAAUAUAAAAACUUAAUUAUACAAUUAUAAUGCAAGUGUAGGUUAAUGUAAAGUACUUUUUAUAAAUUUAAAAUGUCUUGGACUAUUUUUACAAUAUUUUAACCUUUCCUACAUAUUCUGGCAGAAUUGAAAAAAUUCAAUGUUAAUGAUAUUCAAGGAAUAAAACUUAUUAAACUGAUGAUUUGUCCAACUAAUACUUAAAUUUAAAAGAGAAAUUCUAGUCAAACUAAAAACUUUCAUGGUAAUGAACAUUAAUAUUCAUGAGGAUCAUUGCAGAUUGUUAUUAAGCAAAAUACUAGAUUUAACUACCUGUUAUAGUUUAAUACAAAACUAUUCUAAUUAUACUCACCUGAUUCUGUAAUUGAAGCCAUUAACACCUUCCCACUGAAGGAUGAAGCUCUAGACUUUCCAAUCUAUAUUUUGAAAAUAUAUCUUUUUUUAUUUAAACUUAAAUUAUACAAAACUAAACUACAACUACCAGUCUAUUUUUUUGUAGUUUACUCAAGGGAACCAAGUUUUGCAGUACUGUAUAUAGUACUCAGAAUAAAACUUAUUUUCCAUCAUUUACAUAUUUAUCAAUUACCACCAUUUUCAUCACAUACUCUUUUAAAGAAAAAAUUUAUGAAUAAACAUUUAUUAAGAACCAAGCAACUAACUGAACAUAUUAAAAAUUAAGCAAACCAAUUUAGAUUGAAAUACAUAAAAUAUUUUAUUGUAACUUGAUACAAAUACCCUCAACACUAGCUGUUUAAGGGCAAAUGCCUCACAUUACAAUCUUCAAAGCUUGAUGCUAGUUAUGCUAGUCAAAAGCACUAUUCCUGCAAGGACUAAACUAAAGUAUAUAGUAACAAUAAGCAUAUGUAAAUAAAUAGGUCCCCAUGCUGUUGGUGUCUUAUUCCUCCUAGAUCAGAAAAUGACCGCUGCAUUAUGUAGGAAUGCGGAGGAAUUUCUGAUGGAGGAGAAAGACAGUUGCACAGCGCGUCAACCAGGAGGCCUGGUCGACGACCGGGCCGCGGGGACGCUAAGCCCCGGAAGCACCUCAAGGUAACCCACUAGCCUAGAAAAGGCAGGAUUUUACUUCCCAUUUCCAGGCUCUUUCACAAAUUUCACUAUUUCAAAAUUUAUACCCAAAUAUUGGUACAAGAAAUGUUUGCUAUAAAAGUAAUUAUCCCCAUAAUUUUUUACUUUUGCCCUCUAUAAUUUUGACACGACAAUAUUAUGUACUGUACAUUGGCAACACUUGCCAUAAUUUCAGUAAACACCAAGUUCUUUCUGAACAGACAUUGUAAGGACCUUCCACAAUCUGUCAUGGGACCAGUAAUUAAUAGUUAAUAAAGUUAAUUGCAUAGCAAUUUCAUUUACCUCCUGAACUCCCAGUUUAACUAUUGCCCUUUUAACCCAGCCAAAUAUAAAGUUACGAGGAUUGGAACAGGAGUGCGAAGACCAGUACAGCCGUAUAGGAUAAAUGGAAGACACAAUCUUCAAUCAGAAAAGGAGAAUGACCUGGGAGUGGACAAAACCCCAAAUCUGAUGCCAGAAGCCCACAGUAGCAGAAUAACAACUGCUGAAUAUGGCAUACUUGACAACAUCCAUGUAUCCUUCAGAAACUUGGGCUUUGCCCAAGUUUCUGGGCCCUAAUUACAGCGAAGAUAAGACCCACUCUUGAACAUGCAUCACAUGGGACCCUUAUCUGAAAAAGGACAAGGAGAAAGUAGAAAAGGUACAAAGAUAUGCAACGAGACUUGUUCCAGUGUUGAGGGGAUUGAGCUAUGAGGAAAGUAUGAGAAUUUGUCCUUACCACACUGGAGGAAAGGAAAGAAAAGGGGAAGAGGGGGGGGGGAACAUGAUGAUAACAUGCAAGAAUCUGAGGGAAAUUAACAAAGUAGACAAAGCAACAUUGUUCAAAGUUAGGAAUAGCAGAACGAGGGGUCAUAGACGAAAACGAGAUGCAAACACAUCGUGGAAACAUAAAGAACUUUUUCAGUAUUAGAACUGUCGAUAAAUGGAAUAGAAUAGAUGCAGAAGUCGGUGAAGCAAAUUCAAAUAAAAUUUUUAAAUGUAAAUACUGUAUGAUAAAAUGAGAGACGAGUUGUUGCAAUACUCUACGAACAUUUGGAAGGUGGAGCUAGGAGUCUAGCUCAACCCAGCAAGCACAUCUAGGUGAACACACACACACACACACACACACACAUA
Non-coding RNA from Procambarus clarkii (red swamp crayfish), 3270 nucleotides. The record is from RefSeq and is a predicted model, not a curated record. NCBI's taxonomy places the organism in Eukaryota, Metazoa, Arthropoda, Malacostraca, Decapoda, Cambaridae.